UACGAAGGGGGCUAGCGUUGUUCGGAAUUACUGGGCGUAAAGCGCGCGCAGGCGGAUUAGUAAGUUAUAUGUGAAAUCCCUGGGCUUAACCCAGGAACUGCAUCUAAAACUGCUAUUCUAGAGUAUGAUAGGGGAUAAUGGAAUUCCUAGUGUAGAAGUGAAAUUCUUAGAUAUUAGGAGGAACGCCGAAGGCGAAAGCAGUUAUCUGGGUCACUACUGACGCUGAGGCGCGAAAGCGUGGGGAGCAAACAGG
RNAcentral lists this ribosomal RNA (253 nucleotides) under uncultured bacterium. Its description in RNAcentral is "partial 16S ribosomal RNA". It matches the Rfam family "Bacterial small subunit ribosomal RNA", at positions 524 to 776 of the family's 1533-position model. The record is from RNAcentral.